Molecule: long non-coding RNA, 257 nt
Filed under: Panax ginseng (ginseng)
Lineage: Eukaryota; Viridiplantae; Streptophyta; Magnoliopsida; Apiales; Araliaceae
Description: long non-coding RNA (PGIN_LNC016187)
Source: RNAcentral
GUGAUAAUGUGAUUAGACUAUGUGCUGACUGUAAUAGACAGUACUAUGUGUUAUGAUAUAUUGUUCUAAUCGAACGAAUGAUCUGAUUAUUGAUAGGUUGUGAUAAAGAGAUAAAACCUAAGUUGAGAUUUGUAAUCAGCGAAUCAGGCAAGUAUCCUACCUUUGCAUUUCCUUUAUGCAAUGGACAUGAGUAAGAAGUUUCAAAAUUCUUUUCUAUUCCUGUACAGAUUAUGUACGCUUUGAUUAUCAACAUGUUA